This is a non-coding RNA of Oryza meridionalis, 187 nucleotides long. The record is from Rfam. Lineage: Eukaryota; Viridiplantae; Streptophyta; Magnoliopsida; Poales; Poaceae.
UUUAAAUGUAGUUGUGGGUUUCCGUGUCUAACGUUUGACCUUCCGUCUUAUUUAAAAUUUUUUAAUUAAUAUUCUGAUAAAACAUGAAUAGUACAUUGUUAUUGGCUUAUUUUUUAAAAAAUUAUAAUUUUUUUAAAUAAGAUGAACGGUCGAACGUUGGAUACGAAAAACCACAACUACACUUAAA